AUACGGAGGAUGCGAGCGUUAUCCGGAUUUAUUGGGUUUAAAGGGAGCGUAGGUGGGAUAUUAAGUCAGCUGUGAAAGUUUGGGGCUCAACCUUAAAAUUGCAGUUGAUACUGGUUUCCUUGAGUACGGUACAGGUGGGCGGAAUUCGUGGUGUAGCGGUGAAAUGCUUAGAUAUCACGAAGAACUCCGAUCGCGAAGGCAGCUCACCGGGCCGGAACUGACACUGAUGCUCGAAAGUGCGGGUAUCAAACAGGAUUAGAUACCCUGGUAGUCCACACAGUAAACGAUGAAUACUCGCUGUUUGCGAUAUACAGUAAGCGGCCAAGCGAAAGCAUUAAGUAUUCCACCUGGGGAGUAUGCCGGCAACGGUGAAACUCAAAUGAAUUGACGGGG
This 393-nucleotide ribosomal RNA is filed under the name uncultured bacterium. RNAcentral describes it as "partial 16S ribosomal RNA". It matches the Rfam family "Bacterial small subunit ribosomal RNA", at positions 523 to 918 of the family's 1533-position model. The record is from RNAcentral.